UUUCGAAUCAUUCACAAUGGGGGCAACCCUGAUGGUGCGACGCCGCGUGGGGGAUGAAGGUCUUCGGAUUGUAAACCCCUGUCACCUGGGACUAAACCUCGGCGAAGAGCCGAGCUGAAUUAACCAGGAGAGGAAGCAGUGGCAAACUCUGUGCCAGCAGCCGCGGUAAUACAGAGACUGCAAGCGUUACUCGGAUUCACUGGGCGUAAAGGGAGCGCAGGUGGGCAGGUGUGUCGGGCGUGAAAUCCCGGGGCUUAACUCCGGAACUGCACUCGAAACUACCUGUCUGGAGGAUUGGAGAGGCUGAUGGAAUUCCAGGUGUAGCGGUGAAAUGCGUAGAUAUCUGGAGGAACACCGACGGCGAAGGCAGUCAGCUGGACAAAUCCUGACACUCAGGCUCGAAAGUAUGGGGAGCAAAAGGGAUUAGAUACCCCCGUAGUCC
This 442-nucleotide ribosomal RNA is filed under the name uncultured bacterium. Its description in RNAcentral is "bacterial SSU rRNA". It matches the Rfam family "Bacterial small subunit ribosomal RNA", at positions 355 to 796 of the family's 1533-position model. The record is from RNAcentral.